RNAcentral lists this ribosomal RNA (253 nucleotides) under uncultured bacterium. RNAcentral's name for it is "partial 16S ribosomal RNA". It matches the Rfam family "Bacterial small subunit ribosomal RNA", at positions 524 to 776 of the family's 1533-position model. The record is from RNAcentral.
UACAGAGGUCCCGAGCGUUGUUCGGAUUCAUUGGGCGUAAAGGGUGCGUAGGUGGCGCUGUAAGUGGGGUGUGAAAUCCCGGGGCUUAACUCCGGAACUGCAUUCCAUACUGCGGUGCUUGAGGACUGGAGAGGAGACUGGAAUUUACGGUGUAGCGGUGAAAUGCGUAGAUAUCGUAAGGAGGACCAGUGGCGAAGGCGGGUCUCUGGACAGUUCCUGACGCUGAGGCACGAAGGUCAGGGGAGCAAACGGG